Molecule: ribosomal RNA, 238 nt
Filed under: uncultured bacterium
Lineage: Bacteria
Description: partial 16S ribosomal RNA
Rfam family: Bacterial small subunit ribosomal RNA
Source: RNAcentral
UACGUAGGGUGCGAGCGUUGUCCGGAAUUAUUGGGCGUAAAGAGCUCGUAGGCGGCCUGUCGCGUCGGAUGUGAAAGCCCGGGGCUUAACCCCGGGUCUGCAUUCGAUACGGGCAGGCUAGAGUUCGGUAGGGGAGAUCGGAAUUCCUGGUGUAGCGGUGAAAUGCGCAGAUAUCAGGAGGAACACCGGUGGCGAAGGCGGAUCUCUGGGCCGAUACUGACGCUGGGGAGCGAACGGG